AGAGUUUGAUCCUGGCUCAGGAUGAACGCUGGCGGCGUGCUUAACACAUGCAAGUCGAACGAAGUCCAUGGAGCUUGCUCCGGAAGAUUGAGUGGCGAACGGGUGCGUAACACGUGAGAAACCUGCCCCGGACUUUGGGAUAACAGUUGGAAACGACUGCUAAUACCGAAUAUCACCGUUUCCCCGCAUGGGGAUUUGUUGAAAGGUCCGCCGGUCCGGGAGGGUCUCACGGCCUAUCAGCUUGUUGGGGGGGUAAUGGCUCACCAAGGCAUCGACGGGUAGCUGGUCUGAGAGGAUGAUCAGCCACACUGGGACUGAGACACGGCCCAGACUCCUACGGGAGGCAGCAGUGGGGAAUCUUGCACAAUGGGCGCAAGCCUGAUGCAGCAACGCCGCGUGCGGGAAGAAGGCCUUAGGGUUGUAAACCGCUUUCAGUAGGGAAGAAAAUGACGGUACCUACAGAAGAAGGUGCGGCCAACUACGUGCCAGCAGCCGCGGCAACACGUAGGCACCAAGCGUUAUCCGGAUUUAUUGGGCGUAAAGAGCUCGUAGGCGGUUCAGUCAGUCGGGUGUGAAAACUUGAGGCUUAACCUCAAGAGGUCACUCGAUACUACUGUGACUAGAGUGCGGUAGGGGAGCGGGGAAUUCCUGGUGUAGCGGUGAAAUGCGCAGAUAUCAGGAGGAACACCAGUGGCGAAGGCGCCGCUCUGGGCCGUAACUGACGCUGAGGAGCGAAAGCAUGGGUAGCAAACAGGAUUAGAUACCCUGGUAGUCCAUGCCGUAAACGUUGGGCACUAGGUGUGGGUCUCAACCAACGAGAUCCGCGCCGUCGCUAACGCAUUAAGUGCCCCGCCUGGGGAGUACGGUCGCAAGACUAAAACUCAAAGGAAUUGAUGG
RNAcentral lists this ribosomal RNA (897 nucleotides) under uncultured bacterium. RNAcentral's name for it is "bacterial SSU rRNA". It matches the Rfam family "Bacterial small subunit ribosomal RNA", at positions 8 to 916 of the family's 1533-position model. The record is from RNAcentral.